This 820-nucleotide ribosomal RNA is filed under the name uncultured bacterium. RNAcentral's name for it is "bacterial SSU rRNA". It matches the Rfam family "Bacterial small subunit ribosomal RNA", at positions 79 to 895 of the family's 1533-position model. The record is from RNAcentral.
CUUGCUUCUCUUGAGAGCGGCGGACGGGUGAGUAAUGCCUAGGAAUCUGCCUAGUGGUGGGGGAUAACGUUCGGAAACGGACGCUAAUACCGCAUACGUCCUACGGGAGAAAGCGGGGGAUCUUCGGACCUCGCGCCAUUAGAUGAGCCUAGGUCGGAUUAGCUAGUUGGUGAGGUAAUGGCUCACCAAGGCGACGAUCCGUAACUGGUCUGAGAGGAUGAUCAGUCACACUGGAACUGAGACACGGUCCAGACUCCUACGGGAGGCAGCAGUGGGGAAUAUUGGACAAUGGGCGAAAGCCUGAUCCAGCCAUGCCGCGUGUGUGAAGAAGGUCUUCGGAUUGUAAAGCACUUUAAGUUGGGAGGAAGGGUAGUAACCUAAUACGUUGCUACUUUGACGUUACCGACAGAAUAAGCACCGGCUAACUUCGUGCCAGCAGCCGCGGUAAUACGAAGGGUGCAAGCGUUAAUCGGAAUUACUGGGCGUAAAGCGCGCGUAGGUGGUUCAGUAAGUUGGAAGUGAAAUCCCCGGGCUCAACCUGGGAACUGCUUUCAAAACUGCUGAGCUAGAGUACGGUAGAGGGUGGUGGAAUUUCCUGUGUAGCGGUGAAAUGCGUAGAUAUAGGAAGGAACACCAGUGGCGAAGGCGACCACCUGGACUGAUACUGACACUGAGGUGCGAAAGCGUGGGGAGCAAACAGGAUUAGAUACCCUGGUAGUCCACGCCGUAAACGAUGUCAACUAGCCGUUGGAAUCCUUGAGAUUUUAGUGGCGCAGCUAACGCAUUAAGUUGACCGCCUGGGGAGUACGGCCGCAAGGUU